Leopardus geoffroyi (Geoffroy's cat) is the source of this 292-nucleotide long non-coding RNA. RefSeq lists it as uncharacterized. Lineage: Eukaryota; Metazoa; Chordata; Mammalia; Carnivora; Felidae. The transcript has 2 exons. The record is from RefSeq and is a predicted model, not a curated record.
UGAAUCCUGCAGAUUUCUGGGGGAGAUCAAACAAAUGGCUUGAACAUGUUAUAAUUCCACAGUAGGGAAGAGCCUGUUCUAGGAAGAAGGAUGGCCCGUGCACAGGUAGUUCGUGGACAUGAAGGGUAAGUCGUGCUGUUCUUGGAGCACAUACGUGUAUUACAGGCCUCCCUGUAAAGUUUUUAUCCUCAUCAGUAGGCCACACAUUCCUUGGGAUCCCAUCUCCUUGAUCAUUCUUACAUAUUUCAAGAGACUAGUAAAGAAGCUAGAUACUUAUUACAUGAAAAAGAUG